RNAcentral lists this ribosomal RNA (433 nucleotides) under uncultured bacterium. Its description in RNAcentral is "partial 16S ribosomal RNA". It matches the Rfam family "Bacterial small subunit ribosomal RNA", at positions 29 to 507 of the family's 1533-position model. The record is from RNAcentral.
AACGAACGCUGGCGGCAUGCCUAACACAUGCAAGUCGAACGAGACCUUCGAGUCUAGCGGCGCACGGGUGCGUAACGCGUGGGAACCUGCCCUUAGGUUCGGAAUAACUCCCCGAAAGGGGUGCUAAUACCGGAUAAUGUCUUCGGACCAAAGAUUUAUCGCCUUUGGAUGGGCCCGCGUUGGAUUAGCUAGUUGGUAGGGUAAAAGCCUACCAAGGCGACGAUCCAUAGCUGGUCUGAGAGGAUGAUCAGCCACACUGGGACUGAGACACGGCCCAGACUCCUACGGGAGGCAGCAGUGGGGAAUAUUGGACAAUGGGCGAAAGCCUGAUCCAGCAAUGCCGCGUGAGUGAUGAAGGCCUUAGGGUUGUAAAGCUCUUUUACCCGGGAUGAUAAUGACAGUACCGGGAGAAUAAGCUCCGGCUAACUCCGUG